AAGUCAACUUUCACUCAGUCAUUACUGUCACAACUUGACCAGAGAUUAAGUUUAUCACUUCAAGGCUUGAAUGUGCACAUUUUCCUUACCAGAAAUACUCAACAUAUGGCAGUAAAACUCUUGUACGUGGAUCAGUGGUACUGAAAUCAAACAAGGGGGUGCUUGUGAAUGGGUAUGGGCUUAGGUCGCUUUAAGAAAUAUUCUUUAAAUUUUCCUGCCAGGGACACCGGAUAUACUUAAUAACACAGUUCACUUGUACAGACAUCAGCGCGGUUAUAAGACAAGUGUAUAGUACUAUGACAUGUAAUGCAUGUAUAUAUAAAAUAUAUA
Haliotis rubra (blacklip abalone) is the source of this 330-nucleotide long non-coding RNA. RefSeq lists it as uncharacterized. Lineage: Eukaryota; Metazoa; Mollusca; Gastropoda; Lepetellida; Haliotidae. The transcript is spliced from 2 exons. The record is from RefSeq and is a predicted model, not a curated record.